UCUCCCCUGCCUUGUUGGUGAUGAAUAGGUUGUUUUCGAGCCAACAUUAUUUAAAAGGGUGACUCCACUGGUCUUUAAGAUGGAAACUUGCUCUGCAAGAUUCCAGAUGAAGCUAUGGGUAACGCCCACCUACAUAGUUAGGUUCGGUAUUAACAACCUAUUUACACGGCUUGGUGGGGGAUUU
RNAcentral lists this non-coding RNA (184 nucleotides) under Pseudomonadota bacterium. RNAcentral describes it as "Proteobacteria bacterium (groundwater metagenome) 6S RNA". It matches the Rfam family "6S / SsrS RNA". Rfam says of the family: E. coli 6S RNA was the first non coding RNA to be sequenced, but its function was unknown until recently. It consists of 184 nucleotides that fold into an extended hairpin structure with a large single-stranded internal bulge. Lineage: Bacteria; Pseudomonadati; Pseudomonadota. The record is from RNAcentral.